GCGCGUCUGGAUUCCCACCAUGGCCUGGGCCCCUCUGCUCCUCGCGCUGCUCAUUUACUGCUCAGGGGCCAGCUCGCAGCCCACGCUGACCCAGCCGCCUGCAGACUCAGUGUCCUUGGGAAACACCGUGAAACUCUCCUGCACUCUGAGCAGUCAGCACAGCAGCUACAACGUUGGAUGGUACCAACAAAGAGAUGGGCAGGCCCCUCGGUUCCUUUGGUAUGGCUCUAGCAUCAAAGGAGACGGGGUCCCAGAUCGAUUCACUGUUUCCAGCUCUGGAGCCAUUCGCUAUUUAACCAUCACCAAGGUCCAGCCAGAGGAUGAGGCCACUUAUUACUGUGGUACAGGUGAUAGCAAUGGGUAACUCACCAUGACACAAUCAGAUGGGGAACUGAGACAAAAACCUCCCCUCACCCAGGCUGUGCACAACUGGGUUCCACUCUCUACGCAGAGCUUUGCAUUUUACUUUCAACAAAUCAGCUGAUUGUUGGACACUGAGAACUCCAGCCUCCCACAGUCUGAGAGGGAAUGUCUCCUCCUGUCCCUCUUCACAGCCUUUGCAGAGGGACAAAGCAGCUUUUACGUGUUGCUUCCCUACUUGGCCCUGCAGGCUGCACAGACAGCCCUUCCCCCCUCUCAGCCCCCCAGAGUUCUCCUCCCAGCGUCUGAACAGUCAGGAACAGUUCCCCCCCUCGGUGAUAAAUAACAAGUAAAAGGCUCGGGGUUACAAGUAACGUGAAUCCAUCUCAGCUGAAGGAACGCUAUCGACUGCUGUAUUCAACCAUAUACGUGACAAAACCUUCUCCGCUCUGAUUCCCUGCGAUGGGCUUUCCCUUCCACAUGCAGUGUUGGAUCUCCCUGUAAACACAGAGCUGGGUCCCAGAGACCAAGUAAAGACCAGGAUAAAUCACAGCAGAGGUUACUGCCUGUACUGAUAGUCGUUUCUAAGCCAGAACUGUUCUUCCACCCACCACUAUCCGUGUCCCAAGGUCUCUCUUCAGAGUUUAGUACCAGGGAAAGCU
Molecule: non-coding RNA, 1022 nt
Organism: Malaclemys terrapin pileata
Lineage: Eukaryota; Metazoa; Chordata; Testudines; Emydidae
Source: the annotation of a RefSeq genome assembly